GACGAACCGUGCGAACGUUGUUCGGAUUCACUGGGCUUAAAGGGCGCGUAGGCGGCUUGCCAAGUCAGGGGUGAAAUCUUUCGGCUCAACCGGAAAAGUGCUUCUGAUACUGGCGGGCUGGAGGGGGGUAGGGGCAGAUGGAACUUCCGGUGGAGCGGUGAAAUGCGUAGAUAUCGGAAGGAACGCCGGUGGCGAAGGCGAUCUGCUGGACCCCUUCUGACGCUGAGGCGCGAAAGCCAGGGGAGCGAACGGG
Molecule: ribosomal RNA, 253 nt
Filed under: uncultured bacterium
Lineage: Bacteria
Description: partial 16S ribosomal RNA
Rfam family: Bacterial small subunit ribosomal RNA
Source: RNAcentral